Acanthosepion pharaonis is the source of this 113-nucleotide non-coding RNA. The record is from the annotation of a GenBank genome assembly. NCBI's taxonomy places the organism in Eukaryota, Metazoa, Mollusca, Cephalopoda, Sepiida, Sepiidae.
CCGGCAAUAUCACACUGAAACGCCGGUUCUCGUACGACCGUCGAAGUUAAGCAAUGCCGAGGUUGGUUUAAUGCCUAGAUGGGUGACCGCUUGAGAAUACUAGGUGCUGUAAG